AAUUACUCACACGCCUUUUUUUCUUUUUUUAGCUUCUUUAUAUAGAAGAGGCUUCCCUGUUUGUGAGAUAAAAUCAAUCGAAUAGUAAAGCCUCCCAACUGGGAGGCUUUUUUAUU
RNAcentral lists this non-coding RNA (116 nucleotides) under Pseudoalteromonas sp. 3J6. It matches the Rfam family "Phenylalanine leader peptide". Lineage: Bacteria; Pseudomonadati; Pseudomonadota; Gammaproteobacteria; Alteromonadales; Pseudoalteromonadaceae. The record is from RNAcentral.